CCUACGGGUGGCAGCAGUGAGGAAUAUUGGUCAAUGGCCGGAAGGCUGAACCAGCCAUGCCGCGUGAAGGUCAGUGCCCUAUGGGUUGUAAACUUCUUUUAUAUGGGAAUAAAGUGCAGUAUGUAUACUGCUUUGCAUGUACCUUAUGAAUAAGGAUCGGCUAACUCCGUGCCAGCAGCCGCGGUAAUACGGAGGAUCCGAGCGUUAUCCGGAUUUAUUGGGUUUAAAGGGAGCGUAGGCGGGUUGUUAAGUCAGAUGUGAAAGUUUGCGGUUCAACCGUAAAAUUGCAGUUGAUACUGGCAUCCUUGAGUACAGUAGAGGUAGGCGGAAUUCGUGGUGUAGCGGUGAAAUGCUUAGAUAUCACGAAGAACUCCGAUUGCGAAGGCAGCCUGCUGGACUGUAACUGACGCUGAUGCUCGAAAGUGUGGGGAUCAAACAGGAUUAGAUACCCGUGUAGUC
RNAcentral lists this ribosomal RNA (459 nucleotides) under uncultured bacterium. RNAcentral's name for it is "partial 16S ribosomal RNA". It matches the Rfam family "Bacterial small subunit ribosomal RNA", at positions 338 to 795 of the family's 1533-position model. The record is from RNAcentral.